CCCUUAGAUGUUCUGGGCCGCACGCGCGCUACACUGACGAUGGCAACGAGUUUUUCCUUCGCCGAAAGGUGUGGGUAAUCUUUUGAAACAUCGUCGUGCUGUGGAUAGAUCAUUGCAAUUUUUGAUCUUGAACGAGGAAUUCCUAGUAAGCGCGAGUCAUCAGCUCGCGUUGAUUACGUCCCUGCCCUUUGUACACACCGCCCGUCGCUACUACCGAUUGAAUGGUUUAGUGAGGACUCCUGAUUGGCGCCGCCGCCCCGGCAACGGAGCAGCGGACUGCCGAAAAGUUGUUCAAACUUGAUCAUUUAGAGGAAGUAAAAGUCGUAACA
Molecule: ribosomal RNA, 329 nt
Filed under: uncultured eukaryote
Lineage: Eukaryota
Description: partial 18S ribosomal RNA
Rfam family: Eukaryotic small subunit ribosomal RNA
Source: RNAcentral